GGCGAGAGUAUUUAGGCACUGGUGCAGUAAAGUUUAAGAGAACUACCGAGAAGCCACGUCUUUAUUGUUACACUUGACCUUUGGAAAUCGGAAGACGGCAGACGGAGUCUUGUUCAUCGACAGUACCGACUAUCAGUGUAAGCGUUUGAAAACAAAGAAUGGCCAAAAAGGGGAUUGUAUCGACUGCAAAACAAAUCAUGAAGUCUAUCAAAAAAUGGAUCAUAGGAACUGAUCAUAAGAAGGAAGAGCAGGCAUGCAAUAUGGGCAUUGCCGUAACCGAUUAUAAAAUGCGCUGCCACUCCUGUGACACAAUUAUCAAAUUGCCGAUUGACAUGUAUUUCUUACCGGGAGAAAAUGACGGGGAAUACAUCUUGAGAGUAGCACCAAUGGCACUCACCGACACAGCCAAGCCGAUGGACAUUCUGUGCACUACUGACCAGGUGAAAUACAAAAAACUGGUCACUAAAAACAAAUUCGGAUCAAAAGGCCCAAAGCCCAUGUGCAUGUGGUACACACAAUGUCUAGAGCCAACAUAUCCAUUUCCCUGAAUUUUCCUUCUUUCUUGCUAGUUUUUCUCGUUUUCGACUUCUAAUAUUCUCCAAAAAAAAAAAAACAAUGUUUUUAUGUAACGCGAUACAAUAGCAAUAUACAUUAUCUACUCUACAGUACGCAGCACAUGUCCUUUCCCAAGCACCUAGUACGCUUAGUCUGGCACGUGAAUUACAUCAGUGCAAAGCUAUUGUUAUUUAAUUAGGUUCACGCAUCAAGUAUAGCUUUAACAAUAUUGUUUUAAGUAUAGUAUGUGAUUUUAAUGGUCCCCCCACGUGCAGCAAUUAUCUAUACUUCAUCCGACAAGAGAACAGAUACCAUAACGCGUUCCUUUCUAAUUGCGCGGGUGCAUAUUAUGACAGUAAGGGAUUUUGGUUUCUCCGCAAGUGCGCUCUCUCGCCGUCCAGAGUAUAAAAUGAUAGAUUGUCAAAUAUAUUAUUAUAACUAAACGUUUUAAACAAGCUGUGGCUAUCAUGGUUCGUGAAUAUCUCACUUGGAUAUCACGGCGACAACCUGUCAAUAAAAUGUUGGUUAUUUCAACCACUCAAGUCAUUUUCCUAUUAAUAUGACUCUCUACAAACUUAUUUUGCA
This is an RNA transcript of Adelges cooleyi (spruce gall adelgid), 1140 nucleotides long. RefSeq lists it as uncharacterized. Lineage: Eukaryota; Metazoa; Arthropoda; Insecta; Hemiptera; Adelgidae. The record is from RefSeq and is a predicted model, not a curated record. The transcript has 3 exons.